RNAcentral lists this transfer RNA (76 nucleotides) under Clostridia bacterium. RNAcentral's name for it is "tRNA-Arg". It matches the Rfam family "tRNA". From Rfam's summary of the family: Transfer RNA (tRNA) molecules are approximately 80 nucleotides in length. Their secondary structure includes four short double-helical elements and three loops (D, anti-codon, and T loops). The record is from RNAcentral. Lineage: Bacteria; Bacillati; Bacillota; Clostridia.
GCGCCCGUAGUCUAACUGGAUAAAACUGUACCCUCCGACGGUACCGUUGUGAGUUCAAAUCUCGCCGGGCGUACCA